UUGUCCGAAAGCUGUUCUGAAUGAACUCACUCUAUAGGUCGCUAUAUAGUGCAACAUUACAUGGUGAGUGAGUGAGUGAACGAGUGAACGAACGAACGAACGAACGAUUUCGGAUUCAGCACAGAACUGUUGAGCAAAACUUGUAUGCGCGUGUUGAUGGCGUCAUUGGGUGGGUUCACUUCCGAGGUUACGGAUGCGAUUUCUUCCACGCGUGGGCUGAAUUUGUGGAAGUCGUGGCUCUCGUCCUGUUUAAGUCUGUGGACUAUUUUUUUUUUAAUAAUUAAGACCAGUAACGUUAUAAGUUAGUCGUAAGAAAGAAAAGAAAAGAAAACCCAAAACGGACACAAUUGAAUGCUGUUCAAGCGCUAGCUGGUGGAAGCUCGUUCCUUUUCGGCAUGGCGCUGUACACGAAAGCCGCCGAGAUCCUGGAGAAGGUGGAGAAGCAACAGGGUGCGCUCAAAACGCUGGUGUACGAAAGUAACUUCGCCAACAUCAAGCAGCUCUUCGCUCUGGUCUGCGAGGCCCAGAAGUUUUCGCCCAUCUUGGAGGAGAUCAUCGUGUCCACCAAGCUGCUGAAGCACACCAAGCUGAAGAUGCACCUGGCCAAGGUGCUAGUCUACGACCUGCUCGUGGGCCAAGGGCUCAAGUGCGGCGGCUCCUGGAAGGCGCUGCUGAUGAAGCAUCGCUCCAGGCUGCAGUCCGAGCUGGCCCGCAUGAAAGUCAAGCGGAAGGUCAGCAGGAAUGAGGACCUGCUCCCCGGCAGCGUCCAGCGACCCGCCGGAGACCAGCUGCCCAGGUACGUGCGCGUCAACACCCUGAAGACCACUGUGGAGGACGCCGUGGACUACCUCAAGAGGGAUGGCUUCACCUACUUGGGCGAGGCCUCCCAGUUGGAUGACUUGACUCUAAAGGCGAGACAGUUUGUGAAGGACCCCCACUUGUCGGAGGUGCUGGUCUUCCCCCCUAAAAUGGACUUCCACGACCACUUCCUGUACAAGGCGGGACACAUUAUUCUCCAGGAUAAAGCCAGCUGCCUCCCCGCCUUUCUGCUGGCCCCCCCGCCCGGGAGCCACGUCGUCGACGCCUGCGCCGCCCCCGGGAAUAAAACCAGCCACCUGGCCGCCAUCAUGAAGAACAAAGGCAAGCUGUUCGCCUUCGAUUUGGAUGCCAAGCGUCUGGCCACCACGUCCACCCUCCUGCUGCGAGCGGGCGUCACCUGCCAUCAGCUGGCCAAUCAGGACUUCCUGAAGGUGGACCCUGAUGCCGCGACGUACGCGGAUGUGGAAUACGUCCUGCUCGAUCCCUCGUGCAGCGGAUCAGGCAUGGUGUGUCUCGGGGACCGGGGCCCGUCGGCCGAGCCUCAGAAGGACGCCUCUCGUCUGGCUUCGCUGGCCUCCUUCCAGCUGCGUUGCCUGAACCACGGCCUUCGCUUCCCCCGCCUGAAGCGUCUCAGCUACUCCACCUGCUCCGUCCGCAGCCAGGAGAACGAGGAGGUCGUGGCGGCCUGUCUCCGGCAGAACCCCGGCUUCAGGCCGGUUCCUCUGCUGGCGCCGUGGCCCGAACGAGGCGCGCCGCCCCUCGUUCAGUGUCUGCGGGCGAGCGUCAGCGGGACGCGCACGCACGGAUUCUUCGUGGCCGUGCUGGAGCGAUGCGGUGAAGCCGAGAAUCCGAAGCCACGACUAACGGUCCGGAUAAGGUAGAUGAUGCUGCACUUGAGAAAAGCUGGAAGGAAGACGAACCCGUCCAAACUUUACUUCUCAGCUUUAGUUUCGAUUUAGAUCAGGAGUAAUUUAUCGGGGCCGACGAAGGACCCUGCCUGGGGGGGGUAGUGCUGUCAAAUUCUGUCUGAUGAGCACACCGGUAUACGAGCUGAACCCACGAAAAUAUUUGAUCAUAGAUAAGCCACACAUAUUAUACAUAACUGUGCUGCCCCCUGUGAUGUGCGUGCCUUCGCCUGACGGUGGCAGUAGUGUGAUACAAGUCGAAAUGAUUGCGGAUGUCCGGAAGGAGACCGUCGGCCAACUAAGCUAAAGCUAAACUCCAGCAUUGUUUUCCACAGAGCAGAGAGAACACUCGCCCGUGGGUGUUGCUUUACAGUGGAACCGCACGUUGUGAACAAUUUGUUUUCCGAACACAUUUUUGAAGACAUAUUGCCUGGCUUCACACAUUUCAGUCUUGGCGUGAACGCGGAAGGCUCAGUUGUGCUUUUUCUCGUGCCACAUAAACACCAUUAACUCCAUGCGUCACACAUUGCAGGCAUCCGGAGUCGGCGGCGCUCGGCCCGCCCGCGUCCGAGGAGACCCCCGAA
Molecule: RNA transcript, 2308 nt
Organism: Phycodurus eques (leafy seadragon)
Lineage: Eukaryota; Metazoa; Chordata; Actinopteri; Syngnathiformes; Syngnathidae
Gene: nsun5
Gene name: NOP2/Sun RNA methyltransferase 5
Exons: 5
Source: RefSeq, a predicted model, not a curated record